UGAGGAAUAUUGGUCAAUGGACGAGAGUCUGAACCAGCCAAAUCGCGUGAAGGAAGACUGCCCUACGGGUUGUAAACUUCUUUUGUACAGGAAUAAAAGACAUUACGUGUAAUGUAUUGCAUGUACUGUACGAAUAAGCAUCGGCUAACUCCGUGCCAGCAGCCGCGGUAAUACGGAGGAUGCGAGCGUUAUCCGGAUUUAUUGGGUUUAAAGGGUGCGCAGGCGGGAUUUUAAGUCAGCGGUGAAAUUUUCAGGCUCAACCUGAACACUGCCGUUGAAACUGGGAUUCUUGAGUAUGGAUGAAGUAGGCGGAAUUCGUCGUGUAGCGGUGACAUGCUUAGAUAUAACGAGGAACUCCGAUUGCGUAGGCAGCUUACUAAGCCAUAACUGACGCUCAAGCACGAAAGCGUGGGGAUCAAACA
This 422-nucleotide ribosomal RNA is filed under the name uncultured bacterium. RNAcentral describes it as "bacterial SSU rRNA". It matches the Rfam family "Bacterial small subunit ribosomal RNA", at positions 355 to 774 of the family's 1533-position model. The record is from RNAcentral.